This 46-nucleotide non-coding RNA is filed under the name Schistosoma margrebowiei. The record is from RNAcentral. Lineage: Eukaryota; Metazoa; Platyhelminthes; Trematoda; Strigeidida; Schistosomatidae.
GCACUGCUGACGAGUCCCACAAUAGGACGAAACGGCCGUCCAGUAC